This 121-nucleotide ribosomal RNA is filed under the name uncultured bacterium. RNAcentral describes it as "partial 16S ribosomal RNA". It matches the Rfam family "Bacterial small subunit ribosomal RNA", at positions 355 to 486 of the family's 1533-position model. The record is from RNAcentral.
UGAGGAAUAUUGCGCAAUGGGGGAAACCCUGACGCAGCGACGCCGCGUGAGUGAGGAAGGUUUUCGGAUCGUAAAGCUCUGUCAGAAGGGAAGAAGUGUUAUAUGGUUAAUACCGUAUAAU